AAAAUUCUGAACGACAUUGGUAGCCACAAUACUACAGAACCUAUGUCAGUUGAAGCCACCCGCCACAACAUUACGGAAUUAUUCACAAAGAUAUUACAGUCGCAGACCUAUUGCUGGAGAAGUGAUAUCAAAACUUUGUAUUAUAAACCGGGUCGUUCCAGACAGCUCAGUUCCGUGGGGUACGUGAAUCGCUCUGGCCACGUUGCAACAUACAGUGAUAUUUUCCCAAACACCAUGUAUGGUCUCAACCAUAGAACAUUCACAGUUUCAACAAAUAUUUGGCCUCCUUUUGUAAACAAGAGUGAAGUAAACGGGACUGUGGAAUAUAAUGGCUUUUGUAUCGAUUUGCUGAAGGAAAUGGC
Gigantopelta aegis is the source of this 362-nucleotide long non-coding RNA. RefSeq lists it as uncharacterized. NCBI's taxonomy places the organism in Eukaryota, Metazoa, Mollusca, Gastropoda, Neomphalida, Peltospiridae. The record is from RefSeq and is a predicted model, not a curated record. The transcript has 3 exons.